This 240-nucleotide unclassified non-coding RNA is filed under the name Hevea brasiliensis (rubber tree). The record is from RNAcentral. Lineage: Eukaryota; Viridiplantae; Streptophyta; Magnoliopsida; Malpighiales; Euphorbiaceae.
GUAAGACAUUUUUCAAAGUCUUUAAUACAUUGAACUGUUUUUAAAGGGCUGGAUUCGAUGUGCUGGACUAUUUUAUUGUUUUAUAUUAGAAUUUGGAUUUUCCUGGGCUGUAUGAUCGCAUAUGAUUAUUUAACACUUUUGACAAAGCAUUCCCCAUACUAAAUCCUCUCUAGUCAUAUGCUAUAAUAACAUGACACUAUGUCAAGUUCUGCUGCACUCUUUCUUUCUUUCUUUCUUUCU